CUUCCGGGUUUCGGCCGAGCGAGAGGAAGGGUUGGGAGGGCCGAGAGGAAACGCGCCCGGAGUCCCCAGCCAUGGCAGAAGAGCCUCGUCUCUUCAAGCUGGCCUGUCGGGGGCAGCUGGAGGAGCUGAAGGACGCUCUGCGGCGCGGGGACGCCGGCGGGCAGCGCUGCGGGCGCUCGGGGGACACGCUGCUGCACCUCGCCGCCCGGCACGGCCACCGCCGCCUCCUCGCCUGGCUGCUGGAGGAGCUGGCGCUGGACGUGGAGGUGGCCAACGGCGACUACAAGAGGCCCCUCCACGAAGCCGCCUCCAUGGGCCACGGGGAGUGCGUCUCCUACCUCCUGGCCAGGGGAGCCAGCGUGGAUCCCUUGAAAAGGGCGGACUGGACUCCCCUGAUGAUGGCUUGCACCAGGCAGAACCUGGAGGUGAUCAAAGACCUCGUGGAGCACGGAGCCAACCCGCUGCUGAAGAACAAGGACGGCUGGAAUUGCUUUCACCUCGCCAGCCGGGAGGGCCACGGGCAGGUCCUGCGGUACCUGCUGGCAGCGUCCCCGAGCAGCUGGGACACGGAGAGCACGACCAGGAGAACGCCUCUGCACACGGCGGCGAUGCACGGCCGCUGGGACGCGGUGGAGCUGCUCCUGGAGCGGUGCCAGUACAAACCGGACAGCAGGGACAACUGUGGAGUCACUCCCUUCAUGGACGCUCUCCAGAACGGGCACGUCGACAUUGCCCGGCUGCUCCUGGAAAAACACCGGGCUUGCCCCACAGCCGUGGAUGCGCUGGGCGCUCAGGCGCUGCACCGGGCGGCCGUCACGGCGCAGGACGGAGCCAUUCGGUUCCUGGUGGCCGAGCUGGGUGUCGGGGUCGACGAGAGAGCGACGGCCCUGCGGCUCACAGCGCUGCACUACGCAGCCAAGGAAGGACACACGCACACCAUCCAGACGCUGCUGUCCCUCGGUGCCGACAUCCACGCGAAGGACGGGAAAGGCCGCUCUGGCUCUCGUUCUGCUGGGCUUUCUGACGUCUUAACGGUGUGUUUGAGCCUGCGCUGGGGCCUUCCCCUUUGCGGGAAGAACCGACACGCUAAUCUGGGCUUCUCUCUACCCAGCUGCUCAUUUUGCAUGCAGCUUUGAGGCGCUCGGUAUCACUGAUGCCCCCGCCUCUCCAUCAAAUGUGGCCGAAACGAGGCAGUUCGGGACCGUCAGGGUGGGCAGACAGACAUCACCGCCCAAACUCCUAACCUUUAUCAAACUGCCUGGGAAUGGCUUAUGAGCAAACGGUAACGGAGAGCUCGAAGGUAAAUACAGUUGCUAUAGCGAUGCAGCGAGCUGGCACUCCCGUUGCGAGAGGUAUCUCUUGCAUCAGCAUCUGUCUCAAAAAAAAAAAAGAGUGUAUGUACGUGGUUUCGGCCAUUGCCACAACUGGCAACUUCCCCAGCCUUCGGGUUUGCUUAAUAACACGCUCCAGUGGUGAGCGGGAGCAGCCUCGCAUCCCUCCCUCCACCCCCUCAGAGUAAAUUCGAGCUCUGCUGGACUCCCCCCACCCCCUCGGCGUGUAAAUCGGGGCUUUGCAGCAGGACCCAACGACCCUCAGCAUCACGUCCUUGCCCCUGCGCAGGAUUAGGCCCGGAGAACGAGGCCGGAGCCGGGCCGGGUCAGCGUGCCGGCUGGCGGAGGGAUCUGAGCCGGGCUCUUUCAGCCUCCCCCUGUGGGGUGGACGCUCUUUGCUGCACGGAAACCUUUCAGCGUUACUGCCUGGCCCCGGACCAUAAAGGCCCCCGCUCACGCCCAGAGGCUUUUUCAAGCCGCUCUCUCGCACGUCGCUAUGAAAUCAGAGCACCCUGCACGCGGCGUGCGCUGGGCAGCACGCGGCUGCCGCCCGGAUCCUGCUCGGCGCCGGGCUGCGGGACGCCCCGGAUGGCGCAGGCACCCUGGCACGGCAGCUCGCGAGGAAGCCGGAGGUCGUCCGGGUUUUCCGAGAACGGGAUG
This is an RNA transcript of Cygnus atratus (black swan), 1991 nucleotides long. It is a transcript of the gene named ankyrin repeat domain 16, with no coding region annotated. The transcript has 9 exons. Lineage: Eukaryota; Metazoa; Chordata; Aves; Anseriformes; Anatidae. The record is from RefSeq and is a predicted model, not a curated record.